This 427-nucleotide ribosomal RNA is filed under the name uncultured bacterium. RNAcentral describes it as "bacterial SSU rRNA". It matches the Rfam family "Bacterial small subunit ribosomal RNA", at positions 355 to 796 of the family's 1533-position model. The record is from RNAcentral.
UGGGGAAUUUUACGCAAUGGGCGAAAGCCUGACGUAGCGACACCGCGUGAGCGAAGAAGCCCUUUGGGGUGUAAAGCUCUGUCGGCUGGAACGAAAAAAAUGACGGUACCAGCAAAGGAAGCAUCGGCUAACUACGUGCCAGCAGCCGCGGUAAGACGUAGGAUGCAAGCGUUGUCCGGAUUUAUUGGGCGUAAAGAGUUCGUAGGCGGUUUGUUAAGUCUGGUGUUAAAGAUCGGGGCUCAACCUCGGGAGUGCACUGGAUACUGGCAGACUGGAGUGCGGUAGAGGCAAGUGGAAUUCCCAGUGUAGCGGUGAAAUGCGUAGAUAUUGGGAAGAACACCAGUGGCGUAGGCGACUUGCUGGGCCGUAACUGACGCUGAGGAACGAAAGCCAGGGGAGCGAAUGGGAUUAGAUACCCCCGUAGUCC